ACUACACUCAAAAUAAUCCAAACGUCAUUGCUACGUGAAAAAUCACGUAGAUCAUUCCGCAUUCAUUUUGCCUCCUAUUCACUUGACUAAGGUAAUAAUUACCAGAGCAUAUAUGAACUCUAAAUGGAGACCCGGUGAUUCUUACUGGGGCUACCAAUCGCACUUACGUGAAAAUCACGUAGGCAUUUGAAUUCAUUUGGUCAUCGCGUUCAUUCUCUGUUGAGCUCAGUUGUCAAAAUGGUGGUCGAUACUAAAAAGAAGCUGCUGCUGCUGGACUUCAAACUAAUUUUAAGAACAAUUCCAAGAACGUUGAUUGUUUUGAAUGGAACUGACCCUGGACAAAUUUGCGAGGAACGUGCGUUUCAUGGACUGUUCCGACGGUCCCGUCGAUCGAUAUCGCGAUGGUGGUCAGUCAGUGUUUUGAAACCAUUAAUGGAAUAUAAUAGUUUAAUCCCUUAGUUAUUUGUCCUUUUUUCAAAAUAAACACAUAAAAAAGCAUGUGCAAAACAG
Molecule: long non-coding RNA, 510 nt
Organism: Aedes aegypti (yellow fever mosquito)
Lineage: Eukaryota; Metazoa; Arthropoda; Insecta; Diptera; Culicidae
Exons: 2
Source: RefSeq, a predicted model, not a curated record